Long non-coding RNA from Sorex fumeus (smoky shrew), 1095 nucleotides. RefSeq lists it as uncharacterized. NCBI's taxonomy places the organism in Eukaryota, Metazoa, Chordata, Mammalia, Eulipotyphla, Soricidae. The record is from RefSeq and is a predicted model, not a curated record. The transcript has 4 exons.
UCCGGGCUGGCCGCAUAGCACCGAGCAGCCUGGCGAAGAAGCAGGGGGUGGGGGGAGAGAGGCUCGUCUGAAGCAACGUUGACGGGGCCUCUAAGUGACCAGACUCUAAGGAUCUUUGGCCGUCAUUGAUUUUAUUUCCCGUGGCUGUACACAGUUAGGAAACUGGAGUUCUCGGCUGUCUUUCACCCGUGAGUCAUCAGAAAAUCGUUCCGUUGCUCUCAGAGCUACCAGUGGGAUUGGACACUUGACAACAAGUGUUAGUUGACUGGCAAUGAAAGAUGUUUCUAUUUUUCAAGAGGCUGCUAAGCAUAUGAAAAGAUGCUCAGUCAUAGAGAAAUGCAAAACCCAAUCACAAUGAGGACCAUUUGGACCAACUAGGAGGGGUGUCAUGAAACAAACAAAGCAAAACUUAAAGACGGAAAAUAGCGAGAGGACGUGGGGAUGCGAAGCCACUGGAAGCUUUGGAUGCUGCUGGUGGGGAGGUAGAACAACGUGCUUUGGAAAUGUUUGACGGCAACUCAGAAAGAAACAACUCAAAUACCCACCAGUAAAUGAAUGGAUCAGUAUAACUCGGCAUUGCUGUGAGGUAGGACGGGAUUCAGGCGUCAGAAUAUGUGACGGGCUGCAGGGAUAGGACAGCAGACCUUUAAAAACCUCUGUUUCCUCCUCCCCUGAAAGGACAUCACGCACCUAUGUUCCUCACAGCACCGUUUACAAGAUCUGGAAACAACCCAUGGGCCCAACCACAGAGGAGAGGAUAAAGGGAUCGGGGCCGAGCCACACGAUGGAGUACUACUCGGCUAAAGAAAAGAUGAAGCUGUGUGGUUUACUGCAACUUGGAUGGAAUUACAGGGUGUCAUGAUAAGUGAAAUGAGUCAAAAAGUAGAUUAGCAGCACGGGAUCUCAUGCAUAUGUGGAGUAUUAAGAAACAAGGCCAGGGAUGAGACAGCCUCUUGGGAAUGCCCAGUAGAACGGGGGACUGAGGGGGCUGAUGGGACCAGGCAAUGACAGGAGAGGGGGUCUUGGCACACUGGUGGAGGGACUGGGGUAGUCACAUGGCAAGUAGAAAACAACAACUUCAGUACUACUGUUGAA